Molecule: long non-coding RNA, 1934 nt
Filed under: Sus scrofa (pig)
Lineage: Eukaryota; Metazoa; Chordata; Mammalia; Artiodactyla; Suidae
Description: lncRNA (ENSSSCG00055013269.1, ENSSSCG00065067324.1)
Source: RNAcentral
GUAAAAGAAAGGGGGAAAUAAAGAAACCACAGCCUUCAUCUGGCUUUUAGGGAACUUAGGACACAUGGAAGAAAGCGCUUGGAAGGCUAUUGAAAUAUUUACAAAACAAAUCAUUUACGUUUAACUUUUGUAUAUGUAAAACCCGGAGAGCUGCCUACAAAGACAGAGGCAACUUUAGUUAUGAGAUAUUUUGGCAUCAAAAUGGUUAAUAGUAUUAUAGCUUCAAAAGAGCCUAUUGGCUCACCCUCAAGGAUGCCCUGCAGUUGUUGUUAAAGUCAUCACAAGAAGCUAGCCUGCUCAGCUAGCCUUUAGAUUUGUCUGCUAACAGUAAAAAUACUAUAAUAAAUCGGUAACAUAUGUUGCCAGGCAAGGAAAAGUGAUAUAAAUAAAGAGACUAGGAGACCCAAACCAAGUACAAUGUGAAAAGAAUUUAACUUUCAAUCUCUGCGUUGGUUAAUUACCAUUUGAAAAGUCAUUUGAAAGUGUUACUCUUAUUUGCUUAUAUUCUUCCUCAUUUUUUUUUUUUUCUCUUCAGAUUGCAUUCUUACCCAAAUACUCUUCGUGAUGGCCUGCUUUGCGGCUUUGGGAUUCUUUAGGGAAUGGAGAUCAGUUUCAUGGAUGACAUCCCAGUUUUCUCAUCAUCAGAAAAGAAAAAAAUCCUCUGGCCAGUGGAAGAAACAGUCACCAAAACGUGAAACAGCCUGGUGAGACAGCAAUAUUCAACUACGAAAAGACCAACAGCAUUGGUCAUGCCAUAUUGUACCUGUCUUUCGGUGUUCCUGCUGCCCGCAGGCCUGGAAGCUUCAGACAGACAGGAUCUUGCAUUUUGGCUACUCCUGCACAUGGCCCAGAGUCUGGUAACCAGAAUGAACUUGAGUUGCGGUUAAACAGACAUGCGAAUCCUGCACCCCCACUCCAAGCACUGAGUAUAUCUUCCAGAACCAUAGCCUCUGCCUGGGGGAGGACUGAGCCUGCCCAGCAAGCUCACCGCAAGCUGGGAGAAGCCCAGACUCUGCAGGCACGUGGUUCUGCAGAACGAGCCCUGGAUGGACUCAGGCAGGCACACCCAGUGAUCUCUCCUAGAUUCAACAAUCAGGCCAGCAGCUGGUGUGACACUAAAUCUUCCCAGAGAAACAUAAACCCAGGAAAUGACAGCCUUGUCCCUAGCAUUGGCCUCAAUGCUCAUUGACAUAUCGAAGAAACUAAAGGGUGAAAGGAGGUGAUGGUUAAUUUUAUGCAUCACCUUGGCUGGAUGAUGGUGUCCAGUUAUUUGGUCAAACACUAGUCUAGAUGUUGCUUGAAGGUAGUUUUUAAAGGUGGUUAAAAUUUAACUCAAAAUAUUCCGAGUAAAGCAAAUUGCCCCCCAUGGUAUGGGUGGGUCUUAUCCAAUCAGUUGAAGGCCUUAAGCACAAGGACUGAGGUUUCCUGAAGAAGAAAUUCUCCUCAAGACGGCAACAUCGACUCUUACCUGAUUUUCCAACCUGCCUUACAGACUGCAGCCUUGCCAGUCCCACAACUGCAUGAAUCACUUCCUUCUCUCAAUCUCUCUUUCUAUUGUGUGUCUGUGUGUGUAUUCGCCUUCUGGUUCUGUUUCUCUGGAGAACCCUGCCGAUACAACCGACUAUGUUGAAUCUGUAGCAGAAGAGGUAGGGUGAUGGCCAUGAAAGCCAUGUUCGAGUUUCUAAUGGGUUCUCUAGGAUGAGGUCUUGGGCUUAUUUAAUGUGUCACAUCACUCUGACUAUCUUGAGAUGCUUGAGUAUCUGAGAUGCUUUAGAUAGUGCCUGAUGGGUCUUAUCAGUGGUGCUACAGAAAAGACGCUCAUGUUACAAGAAAGCUGAAUCAGAUGGCUGCCUGCUAGGGGUACUUCAAACUGUUUUGAGGACACUGACAUUAUCUAAUGCUUCUGUUAAAUAAUUAUAAUGUGAUCCCCCCCC